UUUCCCUCUCCCCACCUUCAGUAAAAAAAAACCUAUCUAAAGCUCAGCUCCGGUUCUCUCUCUUCCUCCCUCAUGCAACACCAACACAUGUCACCUGACGUGGCAUGUGCCUUCUCUCUCUCUGAUUCUUGAGAGUGAUUGCUUGCUAGAACCAGAAAAAAAGACAAUGCUGAGAACGACAAGCUAGGGUUAGGGUUUUUCUUUCGAGUUCCACGGAUUGUUUUUCUGAUAUAUAGAGUUUUAUUUUCCCUUUUGCCAUCUACUUUUAUAUUACAUGGGAAGAAGUGAAGACAUGAUAUCUCCAAAAUCUGAAAAACCAUGUCCAAAAUCAGAAAAGCAUCUCCACCUAAACAGGUUAUGUGUUCUUGAUAUGUUUUUGUUGUGGGAUUAUAUGUCUUUAUCAACAACAAAUGAAUGAUUUUUCUCAUUUUUGUUAAAUACAUGUACAAAUAGUUUAUGAAUUAUGAUUGUAAUAAGCAAACAGUACUACUGUUUAUGUACAAUUUAAUCCAACAUAGAUACAUGGAUGUGUGCCUGCAUGAGAGACAGAGGUCUAUUGCAUUAUUUCUUUGGCGGAUUAACUCUUGGAGUUCAAGAUUUGAAAUUGGACCACCCAUUGGCAUUAGCAGGACCAGACAAACAUUCAUCUCUAUACCGACUAGGCAACUAUUCAGGCAUAUUAUGGGCCUGGAGUACCCAUACCACCAUCAUAUUUGAACUCUGCAGUCAUGGCUUGUCAUGUUCCUCAUCCUCAUGUGUGGGCACCACCACAACAUGUGAUGCCACCGUAUGGGGUGCCUUACUCUGCCAUCUAUUCUCCUGGAGUUGUUUGUACUCAUCGUACAGUUCCUAUUAUUGCAACUCCUGUGAGCGCACAAAUGCUUUCUACUUCAUCAUACAACAUGGAUCAAGGCUCAAUAAAGAAGCUGAAAAGAUUGGACGGAGUUACUAAGCAAGUAGUUAAUGACAAUGCUGAGGUUGAUGGUGAAGGAUCAGCCCAUGGAGCAUCACAGAGUAUUGAUGUUUCCAGUGAUGCAAGUGAUGGUAACACACGAGCACAGCAAAGUCUGAGGAAAAGUGAUUCAAUGGGCAAGCUAUCCACUGACAACAAAGUAAAAGUCCAUAAACAGGCCAGGUCUGUACCUGAAAAGGAUGCCAAUGUAACUUCCAGGUGGAUUUCGAGGAUUAAUGUGGCUCCUGAAGAUGUUGCAGGAAAACUAGUAGACUCCCAAUUGGAAAACAGAAAACAGAGCAACUUGUGUUGCUUCUACUACAGCUGCAGGGUUGCCUUGUGAAGACUGGAAAAAAGAUGAGCGGCAACUGAAACGAGAGAAGAGGAAACACGCUAACAAACAAUCUGCUAGGAGGUCUAGGUUAAGAAAGCAGUUCAAUCUGAUUUUUCUUUUCAGGCUGAAACUGAGGAACUGAUGAAGAGAUAUGAAAUCGUGAAAGUGGAAAACAUAACCCUUAAAUCUGAAAUGAAACAAUUAAUGGAAGAUUCAGAGAAACUUAGGGUUGAGAAUGUUGCAUUGAUGGAGAAUUUGAAUGGCUCAGAAGUUGCACAUCCGGAGAGACGGGUUUAGAUAAUAUUGAAUCAGAAUAGCGGGGAUGGAUUUUUGCUAAAAGACUCAAAUUCUGUCAAGGAAAACAAAAGGAAUGUGAGACCCUUGAGAACUCUAUUUUGAGAUGAAGCUGCAAAUAUUUGGAUCAAGAGCCCAUGCUAUUGCCACAAGCUGAUUCAUAUAUUUUCUCUUGUACUUUUUGACAAAUAGCUUGAAAGCCCCCAAUUCACUUGUAUGAUACAUAGGUUGGAAAGGCAAUUAAAUUACUUCCGAAAGAUCUCUCGAGUUGCAUUUUCUAAGUUUUUAACUAAUCAUGGUGUGGUUAGUUCUUGACUACAAGUAUCCCCGUAGUGUUGUGCGAAUUUUAACAGUUACUUCUGACAACAGGUUGAAAGAAUGCACUUUUCAUUAGCUUAACUUCAAAAUUAGAGAAAUUUAUUUACUUUCAUCAUCUGUUUGGGUAUCCACAAUGUAACAUUUUAUUUUAUUAGAGUUUCUUGUAAAUGCUUACUGUUAUUGAAAUUUGCAGAAAUUUGUGCUUUAAAAUAAUAAUAUAAAAAAAAAUCAUUGCCAACGGGUGAAA
This is a non-coding RNA of Camellia sinensis, 2145 nucleotides long. NCBI's taxonomy places the organism in Eukaryota, Viridiplantae, Streptophyta, Magnoliopsida, Ericales, Theaceae. The record is from RefSeq and is a predicted model, not a curated record.